Molecule: ribosomal RNA, 253 nt
Filed under: uncultured bacterium
Lineage: Bacteria
Description: partial 16S ribosomal RNA
Rfam family: Bacterial small subunit ribosomal RNA
Source: RNAcentral
UACGGAGGAUCCAAGCGUUAUCCGGAUUCAUUGGGUUUAAAGGGUGCGUAGGCGGCUUAUUAAGUCAGCGGUGAAAGCCUGGAGCUUAACUCCAGAACUGCCAUUGAUACUGAUGAGCUUGAGUACACUUGAAGUGGGCGGAAUGUGUCGUGUAGCGGUGAAAUGCUUAGAUAUGACACAGAACACCGAUUGCGAAGGCAGCUCACUAAAUUGUAACUGACGCUGAGGCACGAAAGCGUGGGGAUCAAACAGG